AAGCUCUCUCUUCCCCUCCCAGUUUGGAAUCUCGCUUCCGCAUCACUGGAAUCCUCCGCUUGCCGAUAUGUUUGGAGUUCGCCGUUCCCUUGGAAUCGUCUCUAAUGCCGCUCUUCGGCGCUCUCAAUCAAUCGAGUCCAUUCAUGUAAAAGCGGGUAUGGAGAUUCCGGAUGACAAGCCUCUCAGAUUUGCGCUUCAGUAUAUUGAUGGAAUUGGCCGAUCGAGAGCGAACCAAGUUCUUGCAGAGCUUCACUUGGGGAACAAGCUUGCCAAGGAUUUGACUAAGAGAGAACUCGUUAUUCUUGGCGACGAAAUUUCCAAGUACAUGGUCGGACACGAGUUGAAUAGCUGUGUUAAGAAGGAUAUCGCUAGGCUGCAGGAAAUUCAGUGCCACAGAGGGAUUAGGCAUGGCCAAGGAUUGCCGUGUAGAGGCCAGCGAACAAAGACCAACGCUAGGACCAUGAAAUCAAAGCAGAUCGUCGUUGCUGGAAAGAAGAAAGCUUCUCGUUGAACAAAUGGUUCUGUUCUGCCAUUUCUCAUAUCUUGUUACUUUGUGAAGCUGCAUUUUUGCACACGAUCCAAUUUAUCAUGAGAAUCCAAUUGUGAUUUCGAUGGAGUUCAACUUUAAACUGAUAACAAACAACUCUUGGUGAAGAACCUUCGUAUGAUGAAUGAAGGUAAAAGCUUUAGAUACGUUUCAGGUGUUUACUGAAACAACAAAAACUUCUCAACAAUCUUUUGUCCAGCAUUGGUGAAAAUCGUUUGGGUAAAACAAAGCCUUUUUAUGAUUAUUGAUUUCUGCAGUUGGGCCAGGGCAAGCUUGGUGGGAACUCUAGAUUAAAUCUUUUGUAAAUUUCAGUAGUUUUUCACAAGUUUAUGAUUUUGGUAACCAUUUCACUAAAUAUAUACUAAGUUCUAUUUAAAAAGCAGAAAACGGUUUUAGAAUUAGGAAACCAUUUCACAAAUAGAGAUUCGAUUGCAAUGAUUAGCUCUUGGUGCUGACAAGUCAGAUUGACUUGUGAAAUUCUUGGAUUGUGCAGAAGAAGAAUUAUAGAAAUUUAGAUUUUCAAAAGUGUUGGGUUAAUAUAGCUUGAAACUUGAAUUUGUGUAGCUUGUGGAAUUCGUUGACCUAUAAACGUGAUGAAUGAAGUGUUUGUGCA
Momordica charantia (bitter melon) is the source of this 1160-nucleotide non-coding RNA. The record is from RefSeq and is a predicted model, not a curated record. NCBI's taxonomy places the organism in Eukaryota, Viridiplantae, Streptophyta, Magnoliopsida, Cucurbitales, Cucurbitaceae.